CCUACGGGAGGCAGCAGUGGGGAAUAUUGCACAAUGGAGGAAACUCUGAUGCAGCACCGCCGCGUGGAGGAUGACACUUUUCGGAGCGUAAACUCCUUUUAUAUAGGAAGAUAAUGACGGUACUAUAUGAAUAAGCACCGGCUAACUCCGUGCCAGCAGCCGCGGUAAU
RNAcentral lists this ribosomal RNA (169 nucleotides) under uncultured bacterium. RNAcentral's name for it is "partial 16S ribosomal RNA". It matches the Rfam family "Bacterial small subunit ribosomal RNA", at positions 338 to 524 of the family's 1533-position model. The record is from RNAcentral.